CGGCCCCCUGACGUUUCAGUGCAGUUAACUUAAGAGAUUUUGGAGGACACACAAACCACUCCACAGCGGAUUCCUACAAGAUUAAUAAAAUAAUAAUGAAACAUUGUGGGACGUGCAGGACCCCGAGCAGAGCAGAGCUACGAUGCUGUCCCAGGUAACGUUAGCUAGCUCACAUCAGGCAGCAGUCAGACCAACCAGGAGGACGUGGUAGCAGCAGAGGGAGAGGAGCCUUCAGUCUCUCUGUGGAGAAAACAC
This is a long non-coding RNA of Sander lucioperca (pikeperch), 255 nucleotides long. RefSeq lists it as uncharacterized. The transcript has 3 exons. Lineage: Eukaryota; Metazoa; Chordata; Actinopteri; Perciformes; Percidae. The record is from RefSeq and is a predicted model, not a curated record.